RNAcentral lists this ribosomal RNA (497 nucleotides) under uncultured bacterium. RNAcentral's name for it is "partial 16S ribosomal RNA". It matches the Rfam family "Bacterial small subunit ribosomal RNA", at positions 28 to 507 of the family's 1533-position model. The record is from RNAcentral.
GACGAACGCUGGCGGCGUGCCUAAUACAUACAAGUUGAGCGAUGAAGCUUGGUGCUUGCACCAAUUUGAAGAGCAGCGAACGGGUGAGUAACGCGUGGGGAAUCUGCCUUUGAGCGGGGGACAAAAUUUGGAAACGAAUGCUAAUACCGCAUAACAACUUUAAACAUAAGUUUUAAGUUUGAAAGAUGCAAUUGCAUCACUCAAAGAUGAUCCCGCGUUGUAUUAGCUAGUUGGAGAGGUAAAGGCUCACCAAGGCGAUGAUACAUAGCCGACCUGAGAGGGUGAUCGGCCACAUUGGGACUGAGACACGGCCCAAACUCCUACGGGAGGCAGCAGUAGGGAAUCUUCGGCAAUGGACGAAAGUCUGACCGAGCAACGCCGCGUGAGUGAAGAAGGGUUUCGGAUCGUAAAACUCUGUUGGUAGAGAAGAACGUUGGUGAGAGUGGAAAGCUCAUCAAGUGACGGUAACUACCCAGAAAGGGACGGCUAACUACGUG